GAAUCACUGGUGCAGUGGUUUGAGCAUUGGACUAUGACUCUGGAGACCAGGGUUCGAUUUCCAGUUUGGCCA
This 72-nucleotide transfer RNA is filed under the name Phrynosoma platyrhinos (Desert horned lizard). RNAcentral's name for it is "tRNA-OTHER". The record is from RNAcentral. Lineage: Eukaryota; Metazoa; Chordata; Lepidosauria; Squamata; Phrynosomatidae.